CAAACACAAAAGUUUGAAAUCGCUGGCUAAAGCUAAAACUAGUCACGAGCAAAUGUUCCUUUUUUUCUCUUCAAACAACAAAACUUCCCUCUCUUCUUCUUCAUUCCUCAUCCAUGGCUUCUUCUUCUUCACCAUCCAUUGAUUCUCUCGACCAAGAAAGACCACCCAGCAUUGAAUCCAUACAGACAAUUGUCCACUCAAUAACCCACCACAUUCAAACAUUCCUCUCCACUCCCAAAUCAAGAAGACGAGUCAAAACCAACUGCACAUCCAAGCUCAACAAUCUCAAGCAAGAUUUCUUUGAAUUCUCAGAGCAAUCUGUUCUCUCCAAUCUAUAUUGGGGAAUUCAAGGUAUUGAAGCUGCCAUUAUUGCUAAAUGCCCGGAAGAGUUAUCCAACAGGCUGAAGAACUCUGAGGAAAUGCUUCAAGCACCCGCCUUGCUCGAAGAGCAUGGCGUCACUGCCGGAGUUUCCAAUGCUUUUUUGGUUUCUUGCUCUUAUUUUUAUCUCUCUGCUGUGAGGAAACUCCAGGGAGAUAAUUGGCAGUCAGCACUUCAUUUCCUUCAAGCUCUUUCUGUAUCUCCCAUAUUCACACGAACGGAAUUCGCACCUGAACUUUGCACGAGUUUACUAAUGAGUUCAAGAAGCUCGGAGAUUAUGGACGAUGAUGAUGAUGAAAUUAAUAAAUUGUUGAGACGUAUGGCAAGGAGAUACAAGGCUUGGUUGACGUAUUAUCAGGUUAUGUCAUACAAAGGGAGUCCUCAUCAGCAUCAGCAAGAGGAGGAGGAGGAGGAAGAAGAUGAAUUGCUACUGAAUAACAACAAAUCUGUAAAUACCCAAUCUUCAAAUUCACGUGAACUUGAAAAUAUCUUCCAAGGCCCUCAUAAGGUUCAAGAACUUACAGUUACUCUUCUGGAAAGCACUCAAGUUAGCAGUGGAGGAAUUUCAAGCAGCUCAAAUACUGGACGGCUUGGAGAUAUAUUGAAAGAAAAUCAGUCAGACGUAUCGGUUUCUGGAGAUUCAAACGACAGUUACUUCAAAGAAGAUGUUGGUUUUGAAUUAACUUCUCAAAAGAUAAAAGGUGCAAGUGCAAGUGCAACCACCUCUGAAAGAUACUUCAGUUCCUUCAGCCUUUCAGAAUUACCUAUCUUUGAUCUCAAAUGUAAAAGACAAUAUCCCUCUGAGAAUAGUGUCCACAGGGACGAGAAACUACUUGAAAAGAUGCUGCAGCAAAAUGAUGCCCAAAUCUUUGAUUCUCAAUCAUCAUCAUCAUCCAUAAUGCAGCGUAAAACAAGUGGACGUGACCUGCAACAACACGGAAAAGAUUCCCAAUAUGAGUUAAUGACAAUACUCGAGAAAACAGUUUCAAAGCUAUGCUUCUCCAAUGAGAAGCUGAAAUUCGACGAAGAUUACUCCUUCGAGUUUGUGAGAAUAUACGGACUCUUAAGCAAAAAGAAAGGAGUAAAAUAUACCCUCCUAAAAGAUGUAAUCUUGAAUCAGUUAUUAACAGCUAUCUCAACUUCUGAGGAAGUGGCACUUGUAAGGGCAUCAGUUUCCAUACUUACAACCCUUGUUUCAGGGAACAAAUCAGUAAUAGAAGACGUUAAGAAGAAGGGAUUGCAGUUACAUGAUUUGGCAAAUGCAUUGAAAAGAAACGUGCAUGAAGCAGUUAUUCUGAUUUACUUAACAAAUCCAUCUCCUGUAGAAAUAAAGACUUUGGAACUUCUACCUUCAUUGCUAGAUAUUGUAUGCACUAAUUCAAACACUUGCUGUAAAGGAAGGCUAGAUUCAUUAUUGCCAACUCCACCUGCAGCAUCAUUGAUGAUCAUUGAAGUACUAGUUACUGGGUUCGAUUAUGCUACAAAUAAAAGGCACCUGGCUGCGAUUAAUGUACCGAGAGUACUAGCUGGGCUGCUCGAUAUACAAAGAUAUAAUAAUACGAAAGAAUAUACCUCUUUGGCUACUAUUCUAGUAAGGUGUAUGCAGUUUGAUGGGCAAUGUAGAAAAUAUAUAUCAGAGUUUACUCCUGUAGCUCCAUUUUUAUAUCUCCUGAGCAGUAGUCAAGAGCAUGCAAGGUCCAUUGCUCUCGAGUAUUUCCAUGAACUUCUCCAAAUGCCACGGUCAUCAGCGAAUAAGCUGUUAAGACGAAUGCUUACAGAAGGAAGCAUUAAUACAAUGCACACCCUAAUGCUCCUCAUCCAGAAAUCACAACAUGAACACAAACUUCUUUCAGCGUUUUUGUUGCUUCAAUUAGACAUGCUGGAAAGCUCGUCAGGUAAGAGUAUAUACAGGGAAGAGGCGCUUGAACACCUCCUCGAACCAUUGAAAUCCAGCCCAGGAUCUGCAGGCCAGCAAUUAUCUGCUUUCCUUAUGUCAAGUCUUGGUGGAACCUACUCAUGGACAGGAGAACCAUAUACUGUAGCUUGGUUGCUAAAGAAGACUGGUCUAACCACCUGCCAUCACCGAAACAUGAUAAGGAAUUUCAAUUGGCUAGAUGAAAGCAUGCAGGAUGCUGCCACAGAUUUAUGGUGCAGAAAGAUAGCAAGAAUUCUUAUUAAAACUGGGGUGCCAGUCUUCCGUGCUCUUGAAAAUGGCCUUAAGAGUGGGACAAAAAAGGUUUCUCGAGACUGCCUGGCUGCCAUGGCUUGGAUUGGAUGUGAAAUUGGUAAUUGUCCAGAGGAUUUAAGACAUGAGGCAUGUGAUAUUCUUCUGCGUAGUGAAGUCCAACAGUUCUUGCAUCCUGGAGUGGAGCUUGAAGAAAGACUUCUAGCAUGUCUAUGUAUCUACAGCUAUGCUUCUGGUAAAGGGAUGCAGAAGCUUAUUCAUUUCUCUGAAGGAGUAAGAGAGUCACUCAGACGACUGUCUACCAUAACAUGGAUGGCAGAGGAAUUACUGAGGGUUGCAGAUUAUUUCCAUCCCAAUAAAUGGCGGAUUUCCUGUGUCCACACACAAGUGGUGGAGGCUGGUCAAAAAAAUAAUGGAGCUGUAACCGCUCUUAUCUAUUACAAGGGACAGCUUUAUAGUGGAUACAAUGAUGGGUCAAUAAAGGGGUGGGAGAUCAAGGGACAAACAGCCACUCUCAUAUCAGAUAUGAAGGAACAUAGAAAGGCAAUAACAUGUUUAUCCCUUUUUGAAGCAGGAGAUUGCUUAUUGAGUGCAUCCAUGGAUAGAACCAUUAGGAUGUGGCAAAUGGUACAAAGCAAGUUGGAAUGCAUUGAAGUAAUAGGAACAAAGGAACCUAUUCAGAGUUUAGACUCUUACAGAAAACAGAUUCUUGGUAUUUCAUUAAGCCAUGAGAUGAAGGUAUUUGAUACAUCAUCAACUGAAAGAGAAGUUACCAUGGCCAAAAAUGUUAAGUGUCUUAGAGUUGUCCGUGGAAAGGUUUACAUAGGUUGCAUGGAUUCAAGCAUACGGGAAAUAGAUCUAAGUAAAAACAAGGAGCGAGAGAUAAAAGCGCCAUUUAAAGUUUGGAGGAUGCAAAGUAGGCCAAUUAGUUCAAUUGCAGUUUAUAAAGAUUUGUUAUAUUGUUCAAGUCUAACAGUUGAAGGUUCAAGCAUCAAGGAAUGGAGGAGACAAAGCAAGCCGCGUAUAACAAUAGUACCAGAAGGAGGAACUCAUGUGCGGGCAAUGGAAAUUGUCGAGGACUUCAUAUACUUAAACUGCAACCAGUCACCUAGUACCCUUCAGAUUUGGCUGAGAGGGACACAACAAAAAGUAGGAAGAAUAUCUGCUGGAAAAAAGAUUACCAGCCUACUGGCUGCAAAUGAUAUGAUCCUUUGUGGUACAGAGACAGGAGUUAUCAAGGGUUGGAUUCCGCUCUAGCAGUACAUAUUCAACUCAGAUAUAAUGAAAAAUCAAUAGAGAUGGAUAUACAAUUUAAAGUGAUGUGUAGCUAAUUAAACUGAUAAAGAUCUGCCAUUGGAAGUAUAAUCAACAAAUUGAUAAGAGAAUUCACAUUCAAAAUGACGACGAAGGAACAUAUGGUUGAAGAUUACAUGUCUAAGAAUAGUUUAGCUGAAAAGAAGAUCUGACAUCAAAUUUUCAAUGAUCAGCCAGCGUAAAUUCAAAGCUUCUUAGCAAUUCAGCUAGAUGGAUAGAGAUAAUGAAAGAUUUAAAGAUGAUUGAAGAGUCGGAUACACACCUGCUGCCCGUAGGCAGAUGAAGAAAAGCGCGCGCAAGGUUAUGACAAUUGAAAGCACAAGAACUAUAUAUAUAUAUAUAUAUAUACUAGCACGAGUAAUAUGCAGAAAAAAAUUGUGAUAUUUUUCGUUUGUGAUAAAAUAAUUUCUAAAGAAAUUUAUUUAUUUUGUAUA
RNA transcript from Impatiens glandulifera, 4312 nucleotides. It is a transcript of the gene named putative E3 ubiquitin-protein ligase LIN, with no coding region annotated. Lineage: Eukaryota; Viridiplantae; Streptophyta; Magnoliopsida; Ericales; Balsaminaceae. The transcript has 16 exons. The record is from RefSeq and is a predicted model, not a curated record.